Molecule: ribosomal RNA, 204 nt
Filed under: uncultured Chlamydiales bacterium
Lineage: Bacteria; Pseudomonadati; Chlamydiota; Chlamydiia; Chlamydiales
Description: partial 16S ribosomal RNA
Rfam family: Bacterial small subunit ribosomal RNA
Source: RNAcentral
CCAACACUGGGACUGAGACACUGCCCAGACUUCUACGGAAGGCUGCAGUCGAGAAUCUUUCGCAAUGGACGAAAGUCUGACGAAGCGACGCCGCGUGUGUGAUGAAGGCUCUAGGGUUGUAAAGCACUUUCGCUUGGGAAUAAGAGAAGUUGGCUAAUAUCCAACUGAUUUGAGCGUACCAGGAAAAGAAGCACCGGCUAACUC